RNAcentral lists this ribosomal RNA (521 nucleotides) under Atherinomorus sp. FGMV 2002.F-A15. Its description in RNAcentral is "partial large subunit ribosomal RNA". It matches the Rfam family "Bacterial large subunit ribosomal RNA", at positions 1923 to 2597 of the family's 2925-position model. Lineage: Eukaryota; Metazoa; Chordata; Actinopteri; Atheriniformes; Atherinidae. The record is from RNAcentral.
UUCAACGGCCGCGGUAUUUUGACCGUGCAAAGGUAGCGCAAUCACUUGUCUUUUAAAUGAAGACCUGUAUGAAUGGCAAGACGAGGGCUUAACUGUCUCCUCUUUCUCGUCAAUGAAAUUGAUCUCCCCGUGCAGAAGCGGGGAUAAGCCCAUAAGACGAGAAGACCCUGUGGAGCUUUAGACAACAGAGCAGACCAAGUAAUAAUCUCCAAUUAAGGAGUUGAACUGAUUGAGUUCUGCCCUAAUGUUUUAGGUUGGGGCGACCGCGGGGCAAUAGAAAUCCCCCACGUGGAAUAGGAGCAUAUUACCUUUACAACCGAGAGCUACAGCUCUAAGAAACAGAAAUUCUGACCAUCAAGAUCCGGCACGCCGAUCAACGGAACAAGUUACCCCAGGGAUAACAGCGCAAUCUUCUUUUAGAGCCCAUAUCGACAAGAGGGUUUACGACCUCGAUGUUGGAUCAGGACAUCCUAAUGGUGCAGCCGCUAUUAAGGGUUCGUUUGUUCAACGAUUAAAGUCCU